AAACUUUAAGUUUAAUCCUUACUUUGUAUUGUAGCUAUUUUUCAUAAAAACACCUUGAAAUCUUGCAGAAAAUUCAUAGCAUGGACUAUAAAACUCAUACAUAAACAUAGAGUUAAAAUAUUCUGAAAAAUGGGUCCGGGCGGUGGUGCACCUGGUUACAGUGUUACAAUGUGCAAGGACCUGGGUUUGAGCCCCUGGUCCCCACCUGCAGGGGGAAAGCUUUGCGAGUGAUGAUGCAGGGCUGCAUGUGUCUCCUUCUGUAUCCCCCCAGUCCCUCCCUCUUGAUUUCUGACUGUCUCUAUCCAAUAAAUUAAAAAAUUCUGAAAAAUAUGACUUGUGAAAUAUCUCUGGUGAUUUUUGGAUUUUUUAAAUUUUACUAAGCUUUUGGAUAAGGAGGUUGAGAACGAAACCUUACUUCACCAUUUUAUGUUACUCUUUUUGUUUGUUCUUGUUUAUCAGUGCCUGGGUUCAAACUGAGGGCCUGCUGUGUGCAAGACAUGCACUUUACCAUUGGGUCCUCUUCCCAGACAAAUUAAUACUUACUGCUGAAACUGACAUUUGACACUAUAAAAACAACAAAGUUCCUUUUGAUUUUUGACUUAGAAAGAUUUUGUAUUCUAUAUAUAGAAGUUAGUGCUACCUUAAACAUAAAAGCCAUAAAGGUACAUCUGGAAUAAGGGUAGUGUGUUACUCCUAGUCCUUUAUCUGGGUCGUCAUUAAGAAAUCUGUGAAGUUUAGAGAUUGAAAACCAUUGGUAUAGGUUACCUCACUCCUGAUUCCGAUCUAAUGAGGGUGAUUUGUUUAAAUCAUACUUUGCCAGGUUCUGCUACUCUGGAUUUUUCAAGGAAAAGGAGAUACAGCUUAGUGAUUCGUUGAUGUCAGGGGGGUUUCUUCUUUUCCUGUCAUAUUGAAAAUAUCAUUUUCCCUAGUUAAGUUUGGAAGGUGAAUUUUAAAAAGAUGUAUUUAUGAGACAAAACAGAACAUCACAUCUGGCAUAUGUGAUGGUAGGCUUUGAACUCUGGACCUCAUGUUUCAAAGUCCAUUGCUUCGUCAACUGUGCCACCUCCUGUACUGCUAGAAGGUUUUUUUUUUUUUUUUAAAUACUUGGUCUACACAUAUUUAUAACAUGGAGUUUUGCUUGUAAGAGUUUCCAAGUCUGAAUACACAGUUCUUAAAUGAAUUUUUAGCGCCUAGAUACGUAUAUUUAUUGCAAGAAUAUCCAGUCCUGGCAAAAAUCUCCCAUGGUACUUCCAUGAAAAACUUACUAAAUUAUUUAAACAUUCUUACUGAAGAGCUAAAACAAUUUAAAGAGCUUUCUUUGCCUACAUGGUUUUAUUAUUCAAAAAAGGCUUCUAAUUUUUUUUUUUUUUUUUUUUUUAAUCAGACCACUGCUCAGCUCUUGCUUGUAGUGUCAGGAUUGAACCUGGAAUCCUGGAGCCUCUAGCACUUUUUUUAGCAUAAGCAUUAUGCUAUCUCCCUGGCCCCUAAUUACUUCUCUUUUGUUCUUGUUUUGCCUCCAGUUGCUAGGGCUUGAUGCUAGCACUACAAAUCCACUGCUUCUGGCAGCCUUCCCCCCAUACGGGUAGAUAGAGGGAGAGACAGAUAGACACCAGCAGACCUGCUUCACCACUUGUGAAGCAACCUCCCUUGCAGGUAGGGAGCCAGAGGCUCAAACUGGGAUCCUUGCCUAGGUCCUUGCACUUCAGACUAUGUGUGUUCCACUCAGUGCACCACCGUCCAGCCCCCUCCCUAAUUACUUAUCUGAAAAGAUCUUUUCAGAAUUCUGUUCCUAAGACCUUUUUUUUUUUUUAAAGCUAUUAAGUCUUAAUAGCCACCAUAUUUCACUAGUUUUCAGCACUUAAUUCUACAAGAUUAUACUUGUUUUUUAUACAGUUUAACUACAGUUUCACAUGUUAAGCUUCCAAAUCCACCUAACUCUCCUAUGUAAUUAUCCGAAAUACUUUUCCAAACAUUAAAGUAGUAGUAAAAGUGUUUCUAGGACAUUUAGAAUCCAAUCCUGUUUGUAGUUGAGGGUGGAGAUGGGAAAAAUUCUGAAGGUAGUGAGAGUUGUAGGUCUGUCUUCAUAUAAUUCUCCUGUUAUCUUUUUAACCCAUCCAUUAACUGCUUCAGCCAUUGAUACUAAGCAGUUUCAUCAUCAUAAUAUAUAUGAAUAUCAUUAACAUCCAAAAAUUAGAAAACCAUUUUCCAUCACAUCUUACCAUGUCAUGGUCUUCCUCAAAUUGCCUUCCAGUAUUUACUGGGUUUCACUUACCACUUGUGUCUAGCUUAACUUUUUCUGACUUCACCGAUUGCUGCUAGGAACGUGGCUGGUCACUCAGCAACGUAACCCAAAUCACAGGGGGAAGACCUUGAAAUAUUGGAGAGACUGAUCUGCUCUGAAUAUACUCAAUCCAAAGAAGUUCCAGGGAGCUGCAUCAGCUUGCUGUGAUUUUUGUCACCUUUUUUUUUUUCUCCCUCAUCAUGGACAAUAAAACUGGAAAGAAAAAGCUAAGCAAUUCGACAGGAGACAAAGAUGAGUUGCAAGAGUUGAUUUGUGGUGACCUGAAGACUUAACAUCUCCAAGACUUUCUGAGCCUUUCAAACGUUUCAACCUGUCAGACUGUUGGGAUGAUGCAAGGCGUUGGAAGACAGAAUUCAUUCAUUCAUUCACUGUUGCUGUGACUGGUGAAUAAUGGCAGAUCAUCUACCUGUUGAGGAAGGAAUCAGUUGUAACAGGAGCAGAGGGAAUCAUCAAUUGUUUUUUAACUGCUGUAGUGAAGAUUGGGUUUUGAACUUUUUUGAAGCCAAGAGGUACCAACUAAACUACAAGACAAAACAA
Erinaceus europaeus (western European hedgehog) is the source of this 2839-nucleotide long non-coding RNA. RefSeq lists it as uncharacterized. Lineage: Eukaryota; Metazoa; Chordata; Mammalia; Eulipotyphla; Erinaceidae. The transcript has 2 exons. The record is from RefSeq and is a predicted model, not a curated record.